GCAGUCGACGAGUUCUCGUUGAUGAUCGGUGCUUGCACCGAGAUUCAACAUCGAACGAGUGGCGGACGGGUGAGUAACACGUGGGUAACCUGCCCUUAAGUGGGGGAUAACAUUUGGAAACAGAUGCUAAUACCGCAUAGAUCCAAGAACCGCAUGGUUCUUGGCUGAAAGAUGGCGUAAGCUAUCGCUUUUGGAUGGACCCGCGGCGUAUUAGCUAGUUGGUGAGGUAAUGGCUCACCAAGGCGAUGAUACGUAGCCGAACUGAGAGGUUGAUCGGCCACAUUGGGACUGAGACACGGCCCAAACUCCUACGGGAGGCAGCAGUAGGGAAUCUUCCACAAUGGACGCAAGUCUGAUGGAGCAACGCCGCGUGAGUGAAGAAGGCUUUCGGGUCGUAAAACUCUGUUGUUGGAGAAGAAUGGUCGGCAGAGUAACUGUUGCCGGCGUGACGGUAUCCAACCAGAAAGCCACGGCUAACUACGUGCCAGCAGCCGCGGUAAUACGUAGGUGGCAAGCGUUAUCCGGAUUUAUUGGGCGUAAAGCGAGCGCAGGCGGUUUUUUAAGUCUGAUGUGAAAGCCCUCGGCUUAACCGAGGAAGCGCAUCGGAAACUGGGAAACUUGAGUGCAGAAGAGGACAGUGGAACUCCAUGUGUAGCGGUGAAAUGCGUAGAUAUAUGGAAGAACACCAGUGGCGAAGGCGGCUGUCUGGUCUGUAACUGACGCUGAGGCUCGAAAGCAUGGGUAGCGAACAGGAUUAGAUACCCUGGUAGUCCAUGCCGUAUACGAUGAAUGCUAGGUGUUGGAGGGUUUCCGCCCUUCAGUGCCGCAGCUAACGCAUUAAGCAUUCCG
RNAcentral lists this ribosomal RNA (849 nucleotides) under uncultured bacterium. RNAcentral's name for it is "bacterial SSU rRNA". It matches the Rfam family "Bacterial small subunit ribosomal RNA", at positions 57 to 871 of the family's 1533-position model. The record is from RNAcentral.